UGCCAGCAGCCGCGGUAAUACAGAGGGUGCAAGCGUUAAUCGGAAUUACUGGGCGUAAAGCGCGCGUAGGUGGUUCGUUAAGUUGGAUUGUGAAAGCCCCGGGCUCAACCUGGGAACUGCAUCCAAAACUGGCGAGCUAGAGUACGGUAGAGGGUGGUGGAAUUUCCUGUGUAGCGGUGAAAUGCGUAGAUAUAGGAAGGAACACCAGUGGCGAAGGCGACCACCUGGACUGAUACUGACACUGAGGUGCGAAAGCGUGGGGAGCAAACAGGAUUAGAUACCCCUGGUAGUCCACGCCGUAAACGAUGUCAACUAGCCGUUGGAAUCCUUGAGAUUUUAGCGGCGCAGCUAACGCAUUAAAAGUUGACCGCCUGGGGAGUACGGCCGCAAGGUUAAAACUUAAAUGAAUUGACGGG
RNAcentral lists this ribosomal RNA (416 nucleotides) under uncultured bacterium. RNAcentral describes it as "bacterial SSU rRNA". It matches the Rfam family "Bacterial small subunit ribosomal RNA", at positions 506 to 917 of the family's 1533-position model. The record is from RNAcentral.